Molecule: long non-coding RNA, 411 nt
Organism: Passer domesticus (house sparrow)
Lineage: Eukaryota; Metazoa; Chordata; Aves; Passeriformes; Passeridae
Exons: 3
Source: RefSeq, a predicted model, not a curated record
GCGCUCAGUUGGCGCUCGCUCUGCACUCUGCCCGUCAGCACUCAGCUGUUGCUGCUGCUGCCUGGCCUUUUCCUGCUGCCUGCUCUGGAGCACCAAUCCCAGCAGGAUGAGCACUGCUGCGCCAGUGGAGACUAACAGAGACACUGUGGUUGCGAUGGAAGUGGACAUGGUGCUGAAUGAGGAAGAGAUGAUGGAGGUGGACGUGGAAGACCAGGUUGAGGAGAUGGAAGUUGAUGAGGAGGAUGACAUCGAGGAGAUGGAAGUGGAUGAGAAGGAUGAGGAGGAGCCCAUGGUCCUUGGAUGAAGAUGGAGCCCCACAAGACUGAUGCAGAUGAUGGCUGUAGAUAUUACGGCGGUGUAUAUAUGUUUGAAAAGUUAGGAUAUUUUUGUAAAUAUGUUCUUAGGUUAGUA